RNAcentral lists this ribosomal RNA (2859 nucleotides) under Verrucomicrobiales bacterium. Its description in RNAcentral is "23S ribosomal RNA". It matches the Rfam family "Bacterial large subunit ribosomal RNA". The record is from RNAcentral. Lineage: Bacteria; Pseudomonadati; Verrucomicrobiota; Verrucomicrobiia; Verrucomicrobiales.
AAUCAAGCUAAUAAGGGCACACAGUGAAUGCCUUGGCUCCAACAGGCGAUGAAGGACGUGACAAGCUGCGAUAAGCUUCGGGGAGCGGCACAUACGCUAUGAUCCGGAGAUUUCCGAAUGGGAUAACCUGCGUCGAUUAAUAUCGGCGCGUCUUGCCCUGAAUUCAUAAGGGCAAGGUCGCUAAACCCGGUGAAGUGAAACAUCUCAGUAACCGGAGGAAAAUAAAGAAAACAAUCGAUUCCGUCAGUAGUGGCGAGCGAAAGCGGAACAGUCCAAACCAGGGGCUUUGCUCCUGGGGUUGUAGGACCCCGAUGUGAGAUCAUGACGAUUAGGUGAAUUGCAUGGAAAGGCAAUCCCCAGAGGGUGAAAGGCCCGUAACUGAAAAUCCGAAAGACUCUAGGGGUAUCCUGAGUAGCACGGCACACGUGAAACGCCGUGUGAAUCCGCGGAGACCACUCCGUAAGACUAAAUACUCGUUGGAGACCGAUAGUGAACAAGUACCGCGAGGGAAAGGUGAAAAGAACCGCUGUGAGCGGAGUGAAAUAGAACCUGAAACCGUGUGCCUACAAGGUGUCAAAGCCUCUUCGGAGGUGAUGGCGUGCCUUUUGCUUAAUGAGUCUGCGAGUUAGUGUCGGUGGCAAGCUUAAGCUCUUCUGGAGCGAAGGCGCAGCGAAAGCGAGUCCGAACAGGGCUACUCAGUCGCCGGUACUAGACCCGAAGCGGAGGUGACCUACCCAUGGCCAGGCUGAAGCGUUGGUAACACAACGUGAAAGGCCGAACUGGUGAACCUUGAGAAGUUCUCGGAUGAGCUGUGGGUAGGAGUGAAAGGCUAAUCAAACCCCGUGAUAGCUGGUUCUCCCCGAAAUGCAUUGAGGUGCAGCGUCAUGUGCUUACGGAUGGGGGUAGAGCACUGAAUAAGCUAGGGGGCACACCAGCCUACCAAACUUAAUCAAACUCCGAAUACCGUCCGGUGGAGCAUGGCAGUGAGUCUACGGGGGAUAAGCUUCGUAGGCGAGAGGGAAACAUCCCAGAUCAGCAGCUAAAGUGCCUAAAUGCCGCUCAGUGGAAAGGAGGUGAAUCUACUUAGACAGUGAGGAUGUUGGCUUAGAGGCAGCCACCAUUUAAACAGUGCGUAAUAGCUGACUCAUCGAGUGGAUUCGCGCCGAAAAUGAUUGGCGAUCAAGCGGCAUACUGAAGCUCUGGAUGCGCCCGGAUUCGUCCGUGGCGCGUGGUAGGGGAGCGUUGUCAACGCGCUGAAGCUGGAUAGCGAUUGAAAGUGGAGUGUUGACAAGUGAGCAUGCAGACACAAGUAACGUUAAGGGUGGUGAAAUCCCACCCCGCCGUAAACCCAAGGUUUCCUGGGCCACGCCAUUCGUCCCAGGGUUAGUCGGGACCUAAGCCGAGGCAGAUAUGCGUAGGCGAUGGACAGCUGGUUAAUACUCCAGCACCACCGACAUUUAAGUGAGAGGGACGGCGUUGUGGAGAAGGCCUGCCGGUUGAAAGUGGCAGGGGCGCAAGCUGACGGAACGGCUACGGCCAAUCCGGAUCCUUUAAAGCAACGUCCAAGAAAAGCUCUCAUGUAUACUAAGGUGCCCGUACCGCAAACCGACACAGGUGGGUGAGUCGAAUAGACUAAGGCGCAAGAGUGAACCCUCGUUAAGGAACUCGGCAAUCUAGCCCCGUAACUUCGGAAGAAGGGGUGCCUGGCGAAAGCCAGGUCGCAGUGAAUGGGUCCAACCGACUGUUUAUCAAAAACACAGCAUUGUGCCAAGACGCAAGUCGAUGUAUACGAUGUGACACGUGACCAAUGCGGAAAGAUUAAGGCAAGCGGUUAGUCGUAAGGCGAAGCUGUGAACCUAAGUCCCCGUGAAUGUCGGCCGUAACUAUAACGGUCCUAAGGUAGCGAAAUUCCUUGUCGGGUAAGUUCCGACCUGCACGAAUCGUGUAACGAGUUGGACGCUGUCUCAACGAGGCGCUCAGUGAAACUGUAGUGGCGGUGAAGAUGCCGCCUACCCGUGGAAGGACGGAAAGACCCUAUGCACCUUAACUGUACUCUGUCACUGUUGUUUCGGUUUUCAUGCUCAGCGUAAGUGGUAGACUGAGAAGCUGCUCUCUAGGGGGUAGCAGAGUCGUCAAUGAGACACCACCCUUGGGGAUUGAAACAUCUAACAUCGACCCGUGAAUCCGGGCGAAGGACCAUGGCAGACGGUCAGUUUUACUGGGGCGGUAUCCUCCCAAAGAGUAACGGAGGAGCGCGAUGGUUGGUUCAACCUGGUUGGCAAUCAGGUGUUGAGUGCAUUGGCAUAAACCAGCCUAACUGUGAGGCCUACAAGCCGAGCAGAUACGAAAGUAGGUCAAAGUGAUCCGGCGCUUGAAAGUGGAAUCGGCGUCGCUCAACGGACAAAAGGUACGCUAGGGAUAACAGGCUGAUCUGACCCAAGAGUUCAUAUCGACGGUCAGGUUUGGCACCUCGAUGUCGGCUCGUCGCAUCCUGGGGCUGGAGAAGGUCCCAAGGGUCCGGCUGUUCGCCGGUUAAAGCGGCACGCGAGCUGGGUUCAGAACGUCGCGAGACAGUUCGGUCCUCUAUCCUCCAUGGGCGCAGGUAAAUUGCGGGGUUCAAACUCUAGUACGAGAGGACCGAGUUUGACGCACCUCUGGUGUUCCUGUUGUCACGUCAGUGGCAUCGCAGGGCAGCUAUGUGCGGAAGGGAUAAGCGCUGAAAGCAUCUAAGCGCCAAGCCCAUCCCAAGAUAAGUUUACCCUGAAGGAUCGUGGCAGACUACCACGUUGAUAGGCUGUGGGUAUAAGCACAGUAAUGUGUUCAGCUUAGCAGUACUAAUCAUCCGUUCGGCUUGAUUCU